CGUACAUACGACGCGCGUGCUCACGUAUCAUGUACUUGGUGUUCAAUUUGUAAAUGUGUUACGUAGUAUAUAUACAUGGCGUGCAAGUGGUAUAUAUAUAUACAUAUAUAUAUAUGUAUAUAUAUAUAUACAUAUCAUAUAUAUAAAGUCGAAGUCUCAAGAUCGAAAAAAAAAAAAAAAAAAAAAAAGAAGAAAAACAUGAAAACUCUGUCCUCUCCCGCUCUUUCUCUCGUCGAACAACAACAUCGAGUACCAAAUACAAGUUUAAACUAGUUUCAAUCUACGUUUAAAAUUCUCGCGAAUGGCAGAGAGCAGAGAAAAGUCGCGAUCUCUCUCACUCCUGGAUUUAAACAAGAACAGACAUUCUCGUGUUGUAACCUUCUGUCUGUCUCCGCUAGAAAAGAAAGCGGACGGUGGAGGAAGAAUUCGUAAGGCUUUUCAAAAGAAAGAGAUUCGCAUGUACCUGCUGCUGAAUGAAGGGGAUGACUAAAAAAAUCCCCCCGAUCAUUCACGGGAAAGAAGCAUCGCACUAAACGCGCCUACGUGACACAGAUCGACGACAUCGACGAGAUACGUAUCUCAAGUAACGUCGCAAUAUUUAAAAAAAACCGAUCGACGAAUGGUACCUUUUCCUCUUUUUCUUUUUCUUUAUUUACCCCUUCCCUUUCUCUCUGCCUUUUUUUCUUUUAUCCUUUUCAGAUCUUCCGGAAGAGAAACAAAUAUUGACCAAAGCGAAUUCGUGAGAGGACGGAGCCUCGACGUGUGUAUGUAUGUAUAUAUGUGUAUAUCGCGUCGGGAAGGAGAAGAUACAUGUGUAUCGUCUCUCAUACGUUACGUAUAUGCGUCUCGAUUGUGUGUAGUAAGAGCACCGAUAUAGUAAUACAGUAGAGUAGUGUAGACUAGUAGUAGAGUAGAAUAGUAGUAGUAGUAGUAGUAGUAGUAGUAAUAGUACUAAUGUAGUGGUAGUAGCAGUAUUGGUAAUAAUGUAUAAUAGCAAUAGCGACAGUCGUGUGAAAAUUACGUCUGUUUCGUCAUUGAAUAAAAAAUGUGGAGGCAAACCUUUGGAUUAGAGUCUCGGCCACGGAAACACUCUCUAAUGCCAUUGUUUUGUCCCGAUCGAUCGUGUUUUGUACCAUACGAUAUACCACUGUGGCCCGAAGUUGAUCAUUCGAUCGAUAGACGCGACCACACACGACGGAUCUUUGCUCGUGGAUUCGCGUGCCUGUAUGUGAUCAUUUGAGACUUUGAAAAUAACUUGAUAAUGGGCAAAUAAACUCAAAGGAAGGCCCGAUUGUCCGUUUCUAUCUCUCUCUAUCUCUCUUUCUCCCUCUCUUUCGCUAGUCCUCUCUCUUUCUCUCUCUCUUUCUAUCUCCCUCUAUAUCUGUCGGUAUCUAUUACAUACUCGCGUGAGCGCAUCCCCACGGACAAAGAUAUUAAAAAUUUUUGGAAAAAAAAAAAGAAAAAAAAAAAUAUUCUUAGCCUCUUUCUCCCAGCCCGAAUUUAUGUCUGCUCUUAGAACGGGCCUCGUUCACCGAACGCUUCUGUAUCUCUCUCCUCUCUCUUUCUCUUUCUCUCACACAGAGAGAAAGCUAAGCUCGAUUAAUCGUAUAUAUCUCUCUAGAAGCUUUUUGAAAUUCUUUAGAAUCGAUAUCGCACUUAAAUUUGAUAAGACAUAUUCACUGUGAUAUCUCCCUAUCUGUCUCUCUCUUUCUCUCUCUCGUGGUUAAUUAAAUAGAAGAGAAGAAAAUGGCGCGUUAUUUGUCAUGCCACAGAGCGACGUCAUUCUUGCUGACGUGGCAUAUGGAACGAUCAUUAUCCGUUUUGGACUUUUCCGUUUAUGUAUCUCUACUACGCGUGACAAAUAAUUUCGAUUUAAACGAAUAUCAUGGGAUGCGACAGUAUAUAGAAAGACGGUUAAUUUCAAACAUGAAAACGUAUAUCGAGAGAGUAGUUAUUUCAACGCGUUCAAGUCUUUCUUUCUCUUCUCUCUUUCUCUCUCUUUGUGUUGGUAAGAGAAGAGAUAAUGAACGUUUGUGUGAACGAGACUAGUGACCGUAGACAGGCAGACAGGCAGGCGGACAGGCGGGCAGGCAGACAGGCAGACAGGC
Long non-coding RNA from Vespa mandarinia (Asian giant hornet), 2108 nucleotides. The record is from RefSeq and is a predicted model, not a curated record. Lineage: Eukaryota; Metazoa; Arthropoda; Insecta; Hymenoptera; Vespidae.